RNAcentral lists this ribosomal RNA (395 nucleotides) under Testudo hermanni. RNAcentral's name for it is "partial 12S ribosomal RNA". It matches the Rfam family "Bacterial small subunit ribosomal RNA", at positions 794 to 1384 of the family's 1533-position model. The record is from RNAcentral. Lineage: Eukaryota; Metazoa; Chordata; Testudines; Testudinidae.
GCUUAGCCAUAAACCCAGAUAUUUAACAUACAAAAAUAUCCGCCAGAGAACUACGAGCAAAACGCUUAAAACUCUAAGGACUUGGCGGUACCUUAAACCCCCCUAGAGGAGCCUGUUCUAUAAUCGAUAAUCCACGAUCUACCUCACCAUCUCUUGCCAAUACCGCCUAUAUACCGCCGUCACCAGCCUACCCUAUGAAGGAUAUAAAAGUAGGCAAAAUCGCACAACAGCUAACAAGUCAGGUCAAGGUGUAGCUUACUGAAAUGGAAGAAAUGGGCUACAUUUUCUAAACUAGAAAUCAUUUCACGGAAAGAACUAUGAAACAAGUUCUAUAAGCAGGAUUUAGCAGUAAAUAGGGAUCAGAAUGCCCAAUUUAAGCCGGUCCUAAGGUACGC